GAAUAUUAGAAGCAUAAUCUGUUGGGGAAAGUGUCAUAACUAAACACAACCUGCAGGAGUGAGUGGGUGUGAAGUACAGUACACUUGUGGAUUGCCUUGGUCAUCAGUACAGUAUUUGAAAUGUCACGUAAGAAAUCCACAGUGCACACACCUCUGGGACAAUCUGCAUGAAGCGGCGUGCCUUAUCCGCUUGAACUGGACGCACAUUUGACAUGAUUGAAGGGUGUCCUUUUUUGGUGCCGCAUUCCCCGUCACACGCUUGCCCUUGAUCAACUACACGUGGCAGACAAUGGCACUGAUCAUUUUCCCCCGGCGAGGAAACCCAGCAUGGAUCAACUCAAUAACCUGAUAUUCUCCGUCCACUCAAUCUGGACAAUUUAGCGGCAGGUCAGCACCUUUCUCUCUUUUUUUUUUUUUUUCUCUCACAGACAAUUUGGUGACCUCCCCCCUGAGCACUGGCAGGUCCAAAGGAGACAAACACAAUUGUAGCACGAGCAAAAGUGCUUGUGAUGUGAACAUGUGUGGAUCUCAAUUUCUCAAGGUGAUACCUGGUGUGGGACACAGAGCGGUGGUGGUGGCGGUGCGAGGGGCUGGGGGGUGCUAUUAUGCAAACUCGAUAUCCAGCAUGCUUGCAAAUGACAUUUUUUAUGUAUUUUCCACCGUACAGUUACCGUCGCACAUGCAUGUUUGAAUUGCUGUGCUUACAAAUCAUUUUGCAUCAUCCUGUUACGUUGCGAGGUGCCAUUCAGCUUCACAUUAAGCACUCGUUCCCCCCGGGGGAUUACGGCCUGUGCUUCUCCUUUUUUUAGGGAUGGAAUUCAAAUCGGAUUAAUCUUCAUUGUGGAAUUUCUGCCCUGCUGUUUCACAUUUACUGUUAGCCGCAUCCAGCUGUGAAAAGUGAAUCGACAACAAUAUCCUGCAUGAUGAUGUCCAUUGUGUCCGUCUAUUUCUUACUGACGAGACAAUUGUCUGAGAUUAUGGACGGACGCUGUCGUGUAGUUACCUUCGCUAUGCAGACUAACUCUCCUUCAUUGCUCACCUCAAGGUCAAACCCGACAGCUGCGCUUCAACUCCCUCCAAUUGAAGCAGAACUGAGCAGUGCGCUCUCGGUCUUGUCUUGCGGUGACAAGAGCAGGCCGUUAGUGUUAUUCAGCCUAUUGGAAGACAAUUUCAGAUAUGACAGGAGACCUUUUUGUGUCUGGAAAUGUACAUUAAAUGGUGUCAACAACAUCCUCCGAGGUCACAACAGAGUCCCCCCACGGAGUGUGCGAGCCGGCGAGAAUCCGCACCGGCGCUUGACGGCUCCGUGGCAGCUUUGACACAGACUGUAAUCUGCGCUGGACUUUGGCUCUGAUUACACGUGUCUCAGGGAGCAAAACAAGGACUGCCAGCACUGGGCCCUUGCCGGGCUUUUCAGCUUUCAAGAGGACUCGAGUCCGCCUCGAAGGGAUCCAACAUGGGGCCACUGCAGUUUGGUUUUUCCAAUCAGCCAUGCGUUCCUGCCCUAUGGUUAUGCUCAUUCCCACUGUGACAUAUCACAAAGGGCGACUUGGCAAUUUCCAUCGAGAUGGACCAACUGCAGACAGCUCUUUGCUUUUGAUAAUGUCACCGCGACAGCAGAACCCGAGUCCCGUUUCCAUCACCGUGCGGGCUGGAGAGGAGGAACGCCUUUGGGAGCCUCCUGCCACUCUCAUGCCGUAUGCGUGGACCUCUUCUCAGGUAACUCGCACCCAACUGGGGGUUUGGUUUAAGCAGUUUACAACAGAGACUGGAGGAGUCACAGAAAGGCAUAGAAGUGUGUAACCAUGGUAAUUAAUUUGAAUCAAACAUCUGAAUUUAAGAUGUUAGCUAAUAAGGAGCCGUCCUUAUUAAAGAACAGCAAGUUGUGCAAAAAGUAGUGAACAGUUGGACAUUUGCAUUCAAACGUUUGGAGAAGGCUUGUUUUAAAGUUCAUCCAGCA
Hippocampus comes (tiger tail seahorse) is the source of this 1960-nucleotide long non-coding RNA. RefSeq lists it as uncharacterized. NCBI's taxonomy places the organism in Eukaryota, Metazoa, Chordata, Actinopteri, Syngnathiformes, Syngnathidae. The record is from RefSeq and is a predicted model, not a curated record. The transcript has 7 exons.